RNAcentral lists this ribosomal RNA (513 nucleotides) under bacterium enrichment culture clone ALO1_GLFRUDD03FO07C. RNAcentral's name for it is "bacterial SSU rRNA". It matches the Rfam family "Bacterial small subunit ribosomal RNA", at positions 9 to 517 of the family's 1533-position model. The record is from RNAcentral.
GAGUUUGAUCAUGGCUCAGAUUGAACGCUGGCGGCAGGCCUAACACAUGCAAGUCGAGCGGAUGACGGGAGCUUGCUCCUUGAUUCAGCGGCGGACGGGUGAGUAAUGCCUAGGAAUCUGCCUGGUAGUGGGGGACAACGUUUCGAAAGGAACGCUAAUACCGCAUACGUCCUACGGGAGAAAGCAGGGGACCUUCGGGCCUUGCGCUAUCAGAUGAGCCUAGGUCGGAUUAGCUAGUUGGUGGGGUAAUGGCUCACCAAGGCGACGAUCCGUAACUGGUCUGAGAGGAUGAUCAGUCACACUGGAACUGAGACACGGUCCAGACUCCUACGGGAGGCAGCAGUGGGGAAUAUUGGACAAUGGGCGAAAGCCUGAUCCAGCCAUGCCGCGUGUGUGAAGAAGGUCUUCGGAUUGUAAAGCACUUUAAGUUGGGUAGGAAGGGCAGUAAGUUAAUACCUUGCUGUUUUGACGUUACCGACAGAAUAAGCACGGCUAACUCUGUGCCAGCCGCCG